AGAAGGAAACUUAGUUAGUUUGGUAAGGGGAACAUUAGGUUUGGUAAGGGGAACACUAGGUUUGGAAAGGGGAACACUAGGUUUGGAAAGGGGAAUAUGGCAAAAACAAACAUUAAAAAAAUGUUUGCUUAGUAUUACGAUUAAAUGAAUAGAAAAAGAAAAAACAUUCUAAAAGAAACUUAGUUAGUUCGGCAGAAAGAAAACAUUAGGUUUGGCAAGGGGAACAUUAGGUUUGGCUGCUAAAAAGUAAAUUGCUUUUAAAUUUGGCAUCCACAGACAAGCAUCAAACCUCAGAACAUAAUAAAUACAAUUUCACUACUGUUAAAAUCCAAUUCAUACACAAGUUUAAUCAUCAUAACACCAAGCAAUUAACUCUAAAAAUUUUAAGAGAAAGACAGAGGGUUUUCAGAAUAAAAGAGCUAACAGGAAUUACGCCAAUAAAUUUGAUUGACCUCUCUGUACUAGAUUUGAAAGAGCCCCGAGAUCGAUUUGCGUCUGAGUGGUUCGCUAGUUUGGUGUGAAUCAAGAUUUUCGGUUUCAUCAUGGAUUGCAUCGUGGCGUAAUGAUUUUGGCUCUGUAAUGUUUCAUACAGGUCUGGUGGAGGAUGGUGCCAGCGGUGAUGUGCAGAGGAGCUCGUUCUAUGUGGCUGAAACGAUAAGAUGGAUGAAAAAGGAGCGACCUUGGGGAUUUGGACGUCGUACUGCAGCAGGGUGUGACAGUGUAGCUCCAAGACCAGAGCACACCGGAGAAGAAGAGAAAAAGGGGUAUUAGAGCAGGUUGCAAUCUUCGUAAUGGAGAAGGAGCUCUAGGGUUUCAGAUUUCAAAAAAAAAAUGUUUGUAUUUUUUUACCUCUUUUUAUUGUGUUAUUAUCUUCUUUAAUUUUUAGUUUAUACACGCCUGUAAUUGAUAUCUCCACAUCCCAUGUAUUUUGUGAUUUGUUUAUGGGCUUGUUUCAUUUUUGUUUACUGUACUUCAAUAUCUAGUGCACACACUCAUUAAUAAAUAUUCAAU
Molecule: small RNA, 1011 nt
Filed under: Vigna angularis var. angularis
Lineage: Eukaryota; Viridiplantae; Streptophyta; Magnoliopsida; Fabales; Fabaceae
Description: Non-protein coding transcript
Source: RNAcentral